RNAcentral lists this ribosomal RNA (502 nucleotides) under uncultured bacterium. RNAcentral's name for it is "partial 16S ribosomal RNA". It matches the Rfam family "Bacterial small subunit ribosomal RNA", at positions 29 to 523 of the family's 1533-position model. The record is from RNAcentral.
AUUGAACGCUGGCGGCGUGCUUAACACAUGCAAGUCGAUCGGGAACAGGUGUAGCAAUACAUGCUGACGAGAGGCGGACGGGUGAGGAAUAUUUGGGAAUCUGCCCAUCAGCGGGGGACAACCCGGGGAAACCCGGGCUAAUACCGCAUACGCUCUACGGAGGAAAGCCGGGGACCGCAAGGCCUGGCACUGAUGGAUGGGCCCAAAUCGGAUUAGCUAGUUGGCGGGGUAACGGCCCACCAAGGCGAUGAUCCGUAGCUGGUCUGAGAGGACGAUCAGCCACACCGGAACUGAGACACGGUCCGGACUCCUACGGGAGGCAGCAGUGGGGAAUAUUGGACAAUGGGGGAAACCCUGAUCCAGCGACGCCGCGUGGGUGAAGAAGGCCUGCGGGUUGUAAAGCCCUUUCGGUAGGGACGAAAGCUCUUGCUCUAAUAAUGCAAGAGGUUGACUUAACCUACAUAAGAAGCACCGGCUAACUCUGUACCAGCAGCCGCCGUAA